CGAACCUUUCAAGAAAUUUGUGGAUUUUGAAAUUCUAUCGUCCGUGAAUUAAAGUCGCUUGGUUUUUAAAAGAAAAAAAAAAAUUUAUUGUUCUAUAUUUAAAAAAAUAAAAGAAAAAAGGAGAAAAAAUAAAAGUAAAAAAAUUUUACACAAUUAAUUUUUAUUUCUUGAAAUAAAUAAAAUUUGAAAUUUAAAUAUUUUUUACUUUUAAAAAUAUUUUUUUUUUUAUAAAUUUUUUCUUUUGAAAAAUCAAAUAGAGUAGUACGACUUAAGAAUAAAAAAUAUUUUUAAGUGAAUUCCGCCAUAAUAGAUUGAUGAUAGAAAAAAAUUCACAAAAAACAAAAAACAAAAAAAAAAAUUAAACAUAACAAAAUUCUAAUUGCAUAUAUAAAAAAAAAGUAUUAUUUAUUGCCACUUAUUUAACUUAGAAAAAAAAAAAUUAGAAAAUUAUUUGUGCUUCUAAAAAUUUUUUCUUAAUAAAAUUCUUAAUUAAAAAUUCUAUAAUUCUACAUAAAGUAUUUUAAAGUAAAUAAUUAACAAAACAAAAAUUCAUCCAAAAAAGUUUGAUUUAACAAAAAUAAAUAUUAAAGAUUAGAAAAAUACAAAAGGAAAAAAUCUAAUAAGAAAAAAGAUCAAUUGAAAUUUGUUAUACAUAUACAAAAAUCCUAAAUUGAAAAAGUAAAAGUUUUACAAGAAAAAAAAUUUCAUAUUAGAAAAAUCGAUAUAUUGAUUGGCUCUAUAAAAGAAAAAUAAAAAAUAAAACCAAAAAGAAAAAAAGUGAACUUCCAACACACUUACAAAAAAAAAAAAUUUGUUGGAGAAAAUUUCCCCUUCAGCAAAAUAUAUAAAACAAAAUUUGAUAUAAUAUAGAACACACUACACUACCCUUUCAUUAAAAACAAAGAGAAAAAAAAUAAUGACAAACGCUGGUGGUGUUGAAACACAAGCAAUUAAUCAAACAGCAGCAGGGCAACAACAACAAAUUCAAUUACAACAGCAACAACAAGUACAGCAGGCAAUUAUGCAAGUUCAACAGCAACAAGCUGCAGCUGCUGCUGCCGCUGCAGCAGCAGCAGCUGCUAAUCCAGUCGGUGGUGUUUUAGCACAAGCCGCAAAUCAAGCAGCUGCUACACAAGCUGCAGUCGCUGCUGCAGUACAACAAGCACAGGUUCAAGCAGCUCUACAACAGCAAAACGGUAAAAUUAUGGAAACAAAUGAAACUCGAACAAAUCUUAUUGUUAAUUAUUUACCACAAACGAUGACUGAAGAUGAAAUUCGUUCAUUAUUUUCAAGUAUUGGUGAAAUUGAAAGUGUUAAAUUGAUCCGAGAUAAAAACCAAACAUUUUUGGAUCCAUUAAAUCCAAAUGCAAUUAAAGGUCAAAGUCUUGGUUAUGGUUUUGUUAAUUAUGUUAGACCACAAGAUGCAGAACAAGCUGUUAAUGUAUUGAAUGGACUACGUUUACAAAAUAAAACAAUAAAAGUAUCAUUUGCUCGACCAAGUUCAGAUGCAAUUAAAGGAGCUAAUUUAUAUAUAUCUGGUUUACCAAAAUCAAUGACACAACAAGAAUUGGAAAGUAUAUUUUCACCGUUUGGUUCAAUAAUAACAUCACGAAUUUUACAAAAUGCUGGUAACGAAACACAAACAAAAGGUGUUGGUUUUAUAAGAUUUGAUAAAAGAGAAGAAGCAACACGUGCUAUAAUUGCAUUAAAUGGUACAACACCAAAAGGUUGUACAGAUCCUAUUGUUGUAAAAUUUUCGAAUACACCUGGCACAAAUACAAAAUUAUUGCAGCCACAAUUACCAGCAGCAUUUUUGAAUCCACAAUUAGUGAGAAGAAUUGGUGGUGCAAUGCAUACACCAGUUAAUAAAGGUCUUGCACGUUUCUCACCAAUGGCCGGUGAUAUGUUAGAUGUUAUGUUACCAAAUGGAUUGGGAGCAGCAGCUGCUGCUGCUGCAACUGUUGCUGCUGGACCUGGUGGAGCAUAUAGUAUAUUUAUAUAUAAUUUGGCACCCGAAACUGAAGAGAGUACUCUCUGGCAAUUGUUUGGACCAUUUGGAGCCGUACAAAGUGUUAAAAUCGUUAAGGAUCCAUCAACAAAUCAAUGUAAAGGUUAUGGAUUUGUAUCAAUGACUAAUUAUGAUGAGGCUGCAAUGGCAAUCAGAGCCCUAAAUGGUUAUACAUUAGGGAACAGGGUAUUACAAGUCAGUUUCAAAACCAACAAACCGAACUUAUUUUAAAUCAAUAUUGUCUAAAGCCCAUUUAAGAACAAAUCUUGAAGCAAAACAAUUAUUAAAUCCAAAUUUAAUGUUUUAGCAAACUAAAAGAACCAUGCCUAAAAGAACAUUGAUGAAUUCGACCAAAGGUGUAAAAUUGGUGUAAUAUCAAAUUUAUUAAAGCACACAUUUCUCUAUUUAUUAAUCCAUGUUUAAGUGUAAAUGGGACGAAAACAGAAAUAAGAAAUAAUCAUCAACAGAACCUUCAAGUUUUUUUAUAUUUAAAUAUUUUAUGUACUCUUUUGUUUUUUUUCUUCCUCUUAAACUAAAUUUAACCUUGUCUUAAUAAAAUAUAUGAUUGUUAAUAUAAGACUUGGUUUAGGAAAUAAUUUUUGUUUUUUUUUUUUUAUAACAAAUAUCAAUGAGAACGAAGCUACUAAAAGUUUCGAUUAUUUCGUAAAUGCUCUCAUAAUCUCAAUAAAAUAUUAAGUAAUGAAAAUAAUUAAAAAAUUGAAUUUUUAAAUCACAUUUAAAGAAAUUUAUUUAAAAUAAUUUGCAAUUCAAAAAAAAAAAAAACAGAAAGUAUUUAUUUAUUUAUUUUAUUUUUAUUUCUUUUUGCAAUAAUGUUAGAAUAUAUAUUUAUUGUAUAAAUGUGAGCUCUAACGAAAUGAUUCGUAAAAUAUGAGAAAAACAUUUUUUCUAACAUAAUUAUAUAUACAAGAACAAAGAAGUAAAAAAAAAAAGAUUAUUUAUAAUAUGCUUUACAAAAAUCAUAAUAUGUAAUUAUACAUAAAUGUACUAAAAUAUUAUAACGACUUUAUAAAAAUAAAUAUUAAACGUAAACCUAUAAAUAUUGUGCACCAUACAUAAGAUUUAAUAAAUAAAUAAAAAAAAAACAAACAAUUUGUAAUCAAACAGAAAUAAUUUUAGUUCUUAAUUUUAAGAGAUCAUAUUUUUUUUUUUUAAUAGCGAUUAAGUUUUCUUAAUAAUUACAAUAAAAAAAAUUGAAUAUAAAUGCUAAAAAGAAUAUAAAUCAAACGAGAGAUAUGGCAAAAAAUUUUUGUUCAUAAAAAUAAAAUAAUUUAUUUAAAUUGAACAUUUCUAAUAAAUAAUAACUUAAAAAAAAUAUAUAUUAACAAAAAUGGAAGAUUUCAAAAUAGGAUAAAAGAAAAAAAAAAAACUAAAAGCGUUUCUAGUCAAAAUAUUUUAAAAAUUAAAA
This is an RNA transcript of Condylostylus longicornis, 3434 nucleotides long. It is a transcript of the gene named protein elav, with no coding region annotated. NCBI's taxonomy places the organism in Eukaryota, Metazoa, Arthropoda, Insecta, Diptera, Dolichopodidae. The transcript has 6 exons. The record is from RefSeq and is a predicted model, not a curated record.